Molecule: non-coding RNA, 54 nt
Organism: Salmo salar (Atlantic salmon)
Lineage: Eukaryota; Metazoa; Chordata; Actinopteri; Salmoniformes; Salmonidae
Source: Rfam
UGCAUUCACUACUGUAAAUCGCUCUGGAUAAGAGCGCCUACUAAAUGACUAAAA